UAGGGAAUCUUCCGCAAUGGACGAAAGUCUGACGGAGCAACGCCGCGUGAGUGAAGAAGGAUUUCGGUUCGUAAAACUCUGUUGUUAGGGAAGAAAAAUGUAUAGUAACUAUAUACAAAAGAGACGGUACCUAACCAGAAAGCCACGGCUAACUACGUGCCAGCAGCCGCGGUAAUACGUAGGUGGCAAGCGUUGUCCGGAAUUAUUGGGCGUAAAGCGCGCGCAGGUGGUUUAGAAAGUCUGAUGUGAAAGCCCACGGCUCAACCGUGGAGGGUCAUUGGAAACUAAUAAACUUGAGUGCAGGAGAGAAAAGUGGAAUUCCUAGUGUAGCGGUGAAAUGCGUAGAGAUUAGGAGGAACACCGGUGGCGAAAGCGGCUUUUUGGCCUGCAACUGACACUGAGGCGCGAAAGCGUGGGGAGCAAACAGG
This 428-nucleotide ribosomal RNA is filed under the name Verrucomicrobiota bacterium. RNAcentral's name for it is "Verrucomicrobia bacterium partial 16S ribosomal RNA". It matches the Rfam family "Bacterial small subunit ribosomal RNA", at positions 355 to 776 of the family's 1533-position model. Lineage: Bacteria; Pseudomonadati; Verrucomicrobiota. The record is from RNAcentral.